ACUCUAAGGAGACUGCCGGUGACAAACCGGAGGAAGGUGGGGAUGACGUCAAGUCAUCAUGGCCCUUACGGCCUGGGCUACACACGUGCUACAAUGGUCGGUACAGAGGGUUGCCAAGCCGCGAGGUGGAGCUAAUCCCACAAAACCGAUCGUAGUCCGGAUCGCAGUCUGCAACUCGACUGCGUGAAGUCGGAAUCGCUAGUAAUCGCGAAUCAGAAUGUCGCGGUGAAUACGUUCCCGGGCCUUGUACACACCGCCCGUCACACCAUGGGAGUGGGUUGCACCAGAAGUAGCUAGUCUAACCUUCGGGGGGACGGUUACCACGGUGUGAUUCAUGACUGGGGUGAAGUCGUAACAAGGUAGCCGUAGGGGAACCUGCGGCUGGAUCACC
Molecule: ribosomal RNA, 391 nt
Filed under: Mesorhizobium sp.
Lineage: Bacteria; Pseudomonadati; Pseudomonadota; Alphaproteobacteria; Hyphomicrobiales; Phyllobacteriaceae
Description: bacterial SSU rRNA
Rfam family: Bacterial small subunit ribosomal RNA
Source: RNAcentral